GGAGAGACAACAUAUAAAUACGGGUAUUGGGGCCUUAUAUGGGAAGAGAGGAUACAGAGAUGGAGGAAUUGGGGUCUUAUUUAGGAACAGACAUCACAUAAAUAGGGGAAUUUGGGUCUUAUAUAGGAAGAGACAUCACAUAAAUAGGGGGAUUUGGGGUCUUUUAUGGAGAGACAACACAUAAAUAGGGGAAUUGGGGUCUUAUAUAGGAAGAGAGGAUACAGAGAUGGAGGAAUUGGGGUCUUAUUUAGGAAUAGAUGUCACGUAAAUAGGGGGAUUUAGGGUCUUUUAUGGAGAGACAACACAUAAAUAGGGGAUUUGGGGUCUCUUAUAAAGAGACAUCACAUCAAUAGGGGGAUUUGGGGUCUUUUAUGGACAGACAACACAUAAAUAGGGGAUUUGGGGCCUUAUAUAGGAAGCUCUUCUAUAGGGUCUUCUAUAGGAAUCCCCAGAUCCCCAUUGAGGUGGGAUUUGGCCAGGAAUCCAACAUGGCGGACAUUGGGGCCUGUUCGUGCGGCCUCACGCACUUAGUCAAGGUCAAUCCAGUUGUGACGUCACUUCUACGCGACGCGAUAUGACGUCAGUGUUGCGCGCCGACGCGUGACGUCACUAGAGCGCGACAAGCCGCGUUUGCAAUGGAGGCGGCGGGGCAACAUGGCGGCGAGGAAGAGGAGGAAGAAGAAGAUGAAGAGGAGCAAUGGCUGCUCGAGUCCCUUCAUAUGUACGAGGCCCUGCACGACUUCGAGCUGCAGAACCCGACCCGUGUUAUCGAAUGGGGCCCGGGGAACCGUGAGUGCGGAGGGGNNNNNNNNNNNNNNNNNNNNNNNNNGGAUGAAUAUCGUUUUGCUGGGCUCCACAUGUUUGCUCACACCGACCUGGUUGG
Molecule: long non-coding RNA, 883 nt
Filed under: Coturnix japonica (Japanese quail)
Lineage: Eukaryota; Metazoa; Chordata; Aves; Galliformes; Phasianidae
Description: lncRNA (ENSCJPG00005006506.1)
Source: RNAcentral